This 239-nucleotide long non-coding RNA is filed under the name Carica papaya (papaya). Its description in RNAcentral is "long non-coding RNA (CPAP_LNC012304)". Lineage: Eukaryota; Viridiplantae; Streptophyta; Magnoliopsida; Brassicales; Caricaceae. The record is from RNAcentral.
AUCGUGCAGGUGAUUCUCGGUGAGAACGGAAGAGAGUGAAUGGAGAGAAAAACUCGAUGAAAGCGGAAGGCAAGGAGGCGAGCAAAGGGAGAGAGAAGCUCGAUGAAGGCGAAAGGCGCGGAGGCGAGUGAACGGAGAAAGAAGCUCUUCGCGGGACUAGGUGUGCGAUGUGUGUGUGUAUUCACCUGCAAACAACCAAAAAUGAAAUGCAAGAAAACAAAGCAAACUGGAAGCUUUCG